Molecule: ribosomal RNA, 855 nt
Filed under: Tubeufia cerea
Lineage: Eukaryota; Fungi; Ascomycota; Dothideomycetes; Tubeufiales; Tubeufiaceae
Description: LSU rRNA
Rfam family: Eukaryotic large subunit ribosomal RNA
Source: RNAcentral
UUGCCUCAGUAACGGCGAGUGAAGCGGCAAUAGCUCAAAUUUGAAAUCUGGUCCUUUCAGGUCCCGAAUUGUAAUUUGUAGAGGAUGUUUCGGCUCACGCCCCGGUCUAAGUUCCUUGGAACAGGACGUCACAGAGGGUGAGAACCCCGUUUGUGGCCGGCGGCUUCCGCCAUGUGAAACUCCUUCGACGAGUCGAGUUGUUUGGGAAUGCAGCUCUAAAUGGGAGGUAAAUUUCUUCUAAAGCUAAAUACCGGCCAGAGACCGAUAGCGCACAAGUAGAGUGAUCGAAAGAUGAAAAGCACUUUGGAAAGAGAGUUAAAAAGUACGUGAAAUUGUUGAAAGGGAAGCGCUUGCGACCAGACUUGCCCGCGGAUGCUCAGCCGGUCCUUCGGCCGGUGUACUCUUCCGCGGUCAGGCCAGCAUCAGUUCGGGCGGUCGGAUAAAGGCCUUGGGAAUGUAGCUCACUUCGGUGAGUGUUAUAGCCCUCGGUACAAUACGGCCCGCCUGGACUGAGGAACGCGCUUCGGCCAGGAUGCUGGCGUAAUGGUCGUAAGCGGCCCGUCUUGAAACACGGACCAAGGAGUCUAACAUCUAUGCGAGUGUUUGGGUGUCAAACCCGUGCGCGAAAUGAAAGUGAACGGAGGUGGGAGCCCUCGGGUGCACCAUCGACCGAUCCUGAUGUCUUCGGAUGGAUUUGAGUAAGAGCAUAGCUGUUGGGACCCGAAAGAUGGUGAACUAUGCCUGAAUAGGGUGAAGCCAGAGGAAACUCUGGUGGAGGCUCGCAGCGGUUCUGACGUGCAAAUCGAUCGUCAAAUUUGGGUAUAGGGGCGAAAGACUAAUCGAACCAUCUAGUAG